Ochlerotatus camptorhynchus is the source of this 3100-nucleotide long non-coding RNA. RefSeq lists it as uncharacterized. The transcript is spliced from 3 exons. Lineage: Eukaryota; Metazoa; Arthropoda; Insecta; Diptera; Culicidae. The record is from RefSeq and is a predicted model, not a curated record.
UCUUCUCUUAGAUCGAAACAAACGUUAUGACGUCUCGACAAUGGUAAUUGAGCGAACGAAAGAAACGAAUCGUGCGAAGCGGAAUGAAAACCGAGCGAUAAACGAAGUGCACCAAUACAUUCAGCUCUUCAGUUCCACUCCUUGCACAGCCCAGGUUGGUAUAUGCCUGUUCAUUUGCUGGCCAUGCGUUUGCAUUCCCUACUGUUCGACUGCCCCAACUGUGGAUCGUUCAUCGUAGCUUACAGAAAGUAAAAGCUUUCUGCCGUUACUUUAGUAAGCUUUCCGACCACCUUAACAGCUUGUAACAAUUAAGGUAUGGUAGCGCCACUAUUGAUGGAGUGGCGGGAUUUGCCACUAGAUAUAUAAAAACAAAUACAGCAGAAAUUUAUAGCUCCCUUACAGUAGCCCGGAUCGUACUACUUUGUUAAUGUGGUAGCCUUCGAUUACAUUUUAAUCUUUUACUAAACAUUGUGAAACGCAACCUCGGUUGGUGUGGGUUUAACCAAUCAGAGCAGGACACGUUGGAAUAGAUAAGAGUUCUGAAUUUAUUUCUCGUAUACGAAGUGGCAAGCGAUAUUCGUAAUAUGAGUCAGGGUUAUUCCAGUUAGACCUGUGCGAGUGAUCAGAUCGUCAAGCCCAAUUGUCAAGUCAAAAUUAUACCCAAGUGUGCUAUAUUGUUCAUACCGAGUGUGCUAUUCUUAGACUUGAAGUGAUAAAACGCGUGAUAGCUAACUUUGUUAUAUAAAGGAUCAUUGACGGACGAGCCGAAUGCUGAUACUUCGCGAAAUCUCCUAUCGCUGUUUCUUCAUAUCCGCGAUACACCCAGUACUGUAAUUGUAAAAUAAUAACAGGGAAAAUAAUGGAGCCCACCAAGGAACGAUUAAUCUAUGCAUGGGGUGGCAAUAUUGGCAAUCAUGGCAACAAAUACGAAGAAGAUUUAGCGUUGGUGCUGUUUGAGCGAGCAUCUUUCGGGAAGUCAGCAUUCAAACUUGCUUCAGAAAUGAAGGACGCUGGAAAAUUUGACGACGUAGUCAUAAUUUUCGAAGAACAGGAGGAAAUCUGGUUAAUCCAAACCAAACACAAAGGCAGCUCAGGUGAUACAAAACCAUUAUCGUUCGACAAUUUUUUUCCGAAGAUGUUCAAGGAGAAUAAAGAUUUUGCUCUUGUGCAGUACAUACAGUCAUAUUUAGAUGUCAUUCAAAAAGAUAAAUUCAAGAAGUAUAAGCAACGAUUUUUUAUCUUAACCAAUAGAUCAUUAGACGUUAGCGAUGAACAGCUUAAGAAGUUGGUGAACAUCGAGAUCUGUGAACAAAGUGAAGUGAACCCAAUAAUGAAGUUAGCUAAAUCCGACAAUUGCUACAUAAGAUUCAGACCAAAAGAGGAUAACAUUGAAGAAUUACUGAAUUUGCUGAACACCGAAAUAACUGCCAUUAGGGAUGCAAUCAUUGAACUCUUCAAAAGUGGAAAAGCUUCGGACUUACUGACGAAGUACAAAACACCAAUGCAGAAGAUCCUGACAGUUUUAGCUAAAAAUCCAAAUAAUGAUAACUCAAACAGCCAGGUCGAUACCACCCAUCAAUGGUUGUACAAUGAGCUAUUAAAUAAGAUUGAUAGAGAAGCAACGGUAAACAUAAUAAAAAAUAAAGCGUAUCAAGAUCUGAUGAAAGGUAAAUCUAGGGACACACAACUACCUCCAUAUAUAAAUGAAGAACGCGUGAACAAGUUCUUUCAGCAUCUAACUUUCUGUAUAGACCAACCAAGUGAUCUAAUGACAACCGUCAAGGAUCAUCUUCGCUCAUGGAUGAGAACUUGGAUUCCACCGGACGAUCUUGGCAAAGCACAAUUAGAGCUGCCUUUCUUUAAAUUUUAUCAAUGUUUUAAAGAUUGGAUCAAUCUUAGUAGUAACAAGCAUACACAAAAGAUUUACUUAACUGAAGCCGAGGGACGUAAGUGUGUCAAAGACAUAACGGAAGAAUUGAGUCAUAAUUUAUCACAACGUGAAAGCUCGUACAUAGAAAGAAAAUUAAUUGAUAACAGUCAUAUUGUUAGCGACCAUGAUUUCAUCAAACGAUUAAUAUACGACCAAGAAGAGAGCCAAUUUUCUCUCUUAAUCGGAGAGCCUGGUAUUGGAAAAACAACUAUCCUCCAAUACAUUGCCUUCGAAGUUCAAAAGAAAUCCGAUAUUGAUGUGUUCUUGAUAUAUUUGAAUAGCUUACAGGAAAUGCUCAAAACGGGCUGUGAAAACUUAGAAACAGUUUACACAAUUCUUAAACCGACUCUUUCAAAAACAAGCAUGACAAUAUUGAAAAACAAUCUAGAAAGCAACGCAAAUCGGUCUAUAAUCAUGUUUGAUGGGUUCGAUGAGAUCACUUUUCAUGACGAGGCAAUCGCCAUGUUUAAGCAAAUAUUGUCAAAGAAGAAUAUUCGAGUAAUUGUAAGUGGAAGAUAUCAUGUCAAAGGUAUUCUUGAAACAGCUUUUGGAGCAGGGGCAAUCAGAUUGAUUCCAUUUGAAAAAGAUGAACAAAUGAUGUUAUUGAAAAAUUCAUGGAAAACUUCCGAUGAUUCAGAGGAAUUUAAAAAUUAUUCAACUAAAUUGUUCGAAAAUUUCUGCUCGGAUAUAACAAGCUAUGAGUUUAAAUUCUUUGGGAUUUCCCUUAUGAUUCGAUUGUUGGCGGAAGCAUAUUCUGAUGAUUUCCAACAAUAUGUAAAUACUGUUCCAGAUCAACGCGUACAAAAUAUUUUCCCGACAGAAAAAUUUAAUGUUGUCUCAUUGUUUAAAAAGAUUGUGCAGUUUUCGUUUCAAAUCAAAUGCAAGAAAAAUAGAUCCCAAGAUGCUUACCGAAAUAUUGACAUGCAAAGUGAUGAAGAAGAGAACCGUCAGUUAAAAUACUUUAUUUUUGAGCAUCAAAUAGCUGCCUGGAAUCAGAUUUUAAGGUAUAACCAUGAAGAAGUAAUCACAUCGGGUGAACACGAAACAAUUUACAAUGACCUUCAAAAUCGAAUCAAAAACGGAAAAGAGAACUCUCCUCUAUUUAAUAUUUCCUAUGGCAAUCUUAGGUUCAUACACUUAUCAUAUGCCGAAUUUUUUGCUGCAAUGUAU